Long non-coding RNA from Camelus dromedarius (Arabian camel), 2044 nucleotides. RefSeq lists it as uncharacterized. The transcript is spliced from 3 exons. Lineage: Eukaryota; Metazoa; Chordata; Mammalia; Artiodactyla; Camelidae. The record is from RefSeq and is a predicted model, not a curated record.
GCAGUAUUCCAUUGUGUGUGUGUGUGUGCGUGUGUAUAUAUGUGUGUUUAUAUAUAUGUAUAUAUACAUAUUUAUAUAAUAUACCACACCUUCAUUAUCCAGUCAUCUGUCAGUGAACAUUUGGGUUGUUUCAGUGUCUUGGCUAUUGUAAAUAGUGCUGCUGUGAACAUUGGGGUGCAUGUGUCUUUUUGAAUUAUAUUCUUCUCCAGACAUAUACCCAUGAAUGGGAUUGCUGGAUGACAUGGAAAUCUAUUUUUAGUUUCUUAAGGAACCUCUAUACUGUCCUCCAUAGUGGCUGCACCAAUUUACAUUCCCACCAACUGAGUAGGAGGGUUCCUUUUUCUCUUAAAAGGUCAAAAAUUCUCUACAUUUAUAUACUUUCCUUACAGUUUAGGACACAAUUUGGCAAAAGCCAGAUAGAAUUUAAUAGCAGUUAAUACAGUAUUUUUUUUUAAAUGGCCAUGCAUUAUGGAUAGAUAUGUUACUGAUGAGUUGGUUCUCUAUUUUUGUAGAUGCAGAAGUUUUUAUAGCUUCACAGACAUUUCAGACUUGCAGAGAGAAAAAUUUCUUUACAUUUUGCUGAACUUGUCCGGGUGGCUUUAUCGAAUUUGGUCCAGGCCUGCAGAGAGAAAACAUGAGCCUAUGAAUCCAACAUCAUCUAUGAUGGUCUGCAGCUGGGAACAACCAGAUCAGUGUCAGUCCCUUUGCAGCCAUUGGUUGGGAGCAUGCAUAUUACCUGGAAUGGUAUUUGAAACAUGUCACACUAGCCGUGCCUUUGCUGUGGGCUGGGAGGCGAGUUUUGGAUGACAAGCUUGUAUUUGCAAAAGUACACACCCUGUGGGAGGUGCUCUGCACAUACGUUGAGAUACUGCACAUAAAAUUGCCUCUGAAGCCCAAUGAUCUGAAAACCCGGUCCUCAGCCUUUGAUAAUUUCAGCUGUUAUCUGAAAGUCCCCCAAGUGGAUGAAAGUAUCAUCAAGCUGGAGCAAGAGUUUUUCAUUGCCCUAUUUGAGAAGAGCUGCGUGAAUGACUUUUAUAUCCAGGAUAGAGAUACAUUGUUCAAUCCAGCCACCAGAAGCUGCAUUGUAAGUCUAAACCGAGUUUAGCAGCUGUCUUGGGGGUGAUUUAGAGCCUGCUGUUGAAUUAUCAGUGAUUUGGUUUGGUUGGUUUGGUUUGGUUUUUAAAAGCUGCCCAUAAAAAGAAAAAAAGAGAAAGAAAAGAAAUAUGCCUAGAGAUUCCUGUUAGGAUAAUAAACAGUGGCUGGUUAGUUACCCUGUAUAAACCACACACUCUCUUAGAAUCUUUUUAGGUUUACUUCAUCCUUUCUCAGAUCAAGUACCAACUAAGGGAUAGUGUUAAAAAAAAUUCGGGAUUAACAGGCUUGUGAGCUCUGGGAUCUGCAAGGCAGCUUUCCCUCCCCAUGGUGUAAGUCAAAUGGCAGAAAUGAAAUAAAGCACGUCAUGUAUCCUCCGGUGUUAACAGGAAAAGGCUAAUAUUCUUGACCUUGUUUCUUCCUGGGUAAAAUGAAGACAAUAUGUCAGGAGGCGAGACGCUCACUUAGGGCAAGAACCAUGUUGUUUUGUUCAUUGCUAAAUCCCAGGCACCGGGAAGGCUGAGUUUAAUAAGUGAAUGGAUGAAGUGUAGUUCCCCCAGAGUUACCAUGUGGGGCAGUGCGGAUUAGCAGCUAAGAGCAUAGACUCGAGAGGGGAGGGUACAGCUCAAGUGAUGGUGUGCAUGCUUAGCACGCAUAAGGUCCUGGGUUCAGCCCCCAACACCUCCUCUAAAAUAAACCAAUAACCCUAAUUACCUCCCCACCCCCCACCAUAAUUACCUUAUUAUCUCCCCGCCACAAAAAAAAAAAAAAAAGAGAAGUGGCCAAGAGCGCAGAGUCAGGCUGGAACACCUGUGCUGGUUUCUCGCUGUCGACCUUGUAAAAGUCAUUUAGCCACUGUGUUUAUCAAGUUCCUCAUCAAUAAAAUGGGGCUAAUAAUAGUGCCCACCUCGUAGAGUUGCUAUGGUGAUUAAUGAAUCUGUGUCAAUGUUAG